This 394-nucleotide ribosomal RNA is filed under the name uncultured bacterium. RNAcentral describes it as "partial 16S ribosomal RNA". It matches the Rfam family "Bacterial small subunit ribosomal RNA", at positions 523 to 918 of the family's 1533-position model. The record is from RNAcentral.
AUACGUAGGGAGCGAGCGUUGUCCGGAAUUACUGGGCGUAAAGGGCGCGUAGGCGGCGCUUCAAGUCGUCUGUCAAAUGGGAGGGCUUAACCCUUUUUCGCAGACGAAACUGGAGAGCUUGAGAAGCAGAGAGGCAAACAGAAUUCCUGGUGUAGCGGUGAAAUGCGUAGAUAUCAGGAAGAAUACCAGUGGCGAAGGCGGUUUGCUGGCUGCAUACUGACGCUGAAGCGUGAAAGCCAGGGGAGCAAACGGGAUUGGAUACCCCGGUAGUCCUGGCAGUAAACGAUGUAUGCUGGGUGUGAGACUAGCGAUAGUUUCGUGCCGAAGUUAACGCGAUAAGCAUACCGCCUGGGGAGUACGGUCGCAAGAUUGAAACUCAAAUGAAUUGACGGGG